AGGCACUGCUAUCGGGUCCGACUAAGCCAUGCAAGUCUACUCCUGCCCUUGCAGGGGUGGCGAACGGCUGAGUAACACGUAGUCAACCUACCCUCGGGACGGGGAUAACUACGGGAAACUGUGGGUAAUCCCCGAUAGGUGAUGGGUACUGGAAUGUCCCAUCACCCAAAACGACCGCGAAUUGGAGCGGUGUCGGCCCGAGGAUGGGACUGCGGGGGAUUAUGGUAGUUGGUGAGGUAACGGCUCACCAAGCCGGUAAUCCCUAGGGGCCAUGGGAGUGGGGGCCCCCAGAAGGGCACUGAGACAAGGGCCCUAGCCCUACGGGGUGCAGCAGGCGCGAAACCUCCGCAAUGCGCGCAAGCGUGACGGGGGGACCCCGAGUGGUGUUGGCCUUGCCAGCACCUUUUGCCGAGUGUAAACAGCUCGGCGAAUAAGGGUGUGGGCAAGACCGGUGGCAGCCGCCGCGGUAACACCGGCGCCUCGAGUGGUGCCCGCGAAUACUGGGCCUAAAGCGCCCGUUGCCGGACCGGUGUGUCUACUGUGAAAUGUUGCGGCUUAACCGCAACGCGUGCAGUAGAUACUACCGGUCUUGGGAGCGGGGGAGGGGAGGAGUACUUCCGGGGUAGCGGUAAAAUGCGUUGAUCCCGGAAGGACUCCCAGUGGCGAAGGCGCCUCCCCAAAACGCGUCCGACGGUGAGGGGCGAAAGCUGGGGGAGCGAACCGGAUUAGAUACCCGGGUAGUCCCAGCCGUAAAUGAUGCGGACUUCGGUGUUGCAUCGCCGCAAGGCGGUGCAGUGCUGUAGCGUAGGUGUUAAGUCCGCCGCCUGGGGAGUACGGCCGCAAGGCUGAAACUUAAAGGAAUUGGCGGGGGAGCACCACAACGGGUGGAUGCUACGGUUUAAUUGGAUACAACGCCGGGAACCUCACCAGGGGCGACGGCAGGAUGAAGGCCAGGCUGAAGACCUUGCCAGACAAGCCGAGAGGUGUUGCAUGGCCAUCGUCAGCUCGUGCCGUGAGGUGUCCGGUUAAGUCCGGCAACG
RNAcentral lists this ribosomal RNA (1040 nucleotides) under uncultured archaeon. Its description in RNAcentral is "bacterial SSU rRNA". It matches the Rfam family "Archaeal small subunit ribosomal RNA", at positions 21 to 1043 of the family's 1478-position model. The record is from RNAcentral.